Molecule: ribosomal RNA, 253 nt
Filed under: uncultured archaeon
Lineage: Archaea
Description: partial 16S ribosomal RNA
Rfam family: Archaeal small subunit ribosomal RNA
Source: RNAcentral
CCCCGGCGCCACAAGUGCUGAUCACUUUUAUUGGGUCUAAAGCGUCCGUAGCUGAUUAAUUAAAUCUCUUGUGAAAUUGUCAAGCUCAACUUGACAGUGUGCAAAGGAAACUGAUUAAUUAGGGACCGGGAGGAGAUAGAAGAACUUUUUGGGAAGUGGUAAAGUGCGAUAAUCCAAAAGGGACUACCAGUGGCGAAGGCGUCUAUCUAGAACGGGUCUGACAGUGAGGGACGAAAGCUAGGGGAGCAAAACG